RNAcentral lists this long non-coding RNA (226 nucleotides) under Elaeis guineensis (African oil palm). RNAcentral describes it as "long non-coding RNA (EGUI_LNC000700)". The record is from RNAcentral. Lineage: Eukaryota; Viridiplantae; Streptophyta; Magnoliopsida; Arecales; Arecaceae.
AUUCUUACACAUAUUUUUUAAAGAGUGGCACAAAGGCUGAUUAGCUAGAAGUGCCUUAGGGCCGAUGCAUCAAGUCUUUUCGGGAUGAGGAUGAUCAGUAUCUUCUUUCACUCCUCCAAAAUACCUUUAGAUUCAAAAACUAUCUAUACUGUCUUAACCACCCUCCAUCGAUAAUAGGCUGGUAUCUAUGAAAAGAAAGGAGGAAUCCAUCUGACCUGAGGUCCUG